AGUCAACAUGCCCAAAGGGCGUGGAUAACCUCGGGAAACUGAGGAUAAACCGCGAUAGGCCAAGGUUUCUGGAAUGAGCCCUGGCCGAAAUCUAUAUGGCCUUUGGAUUGGACUGCGGCCGAUCAGGCUGUUGGUGAGGUAAUGGCCCACCAAACCUGUGACCGGUACGGGCUCUGAGAGGAGGAGCCCGGAGAUGGGUACUGAGAAAAGGACCCAGGCCCUAUGGGGCGCAGCAGGCGCGAAACCUCUGCAAUAGGCGAAAGCCUGACAGGGUUACUCUGAGUGACUUUCGCUAAGAAAGUCUUUUGACACCUCUAAAAAUGGUGUAGAAUAAGGGGUGGGCAAGCCUGGUGUCAGCCGCCGCGGUAAUACCAGCACCCCGAGUGGUCGGGACGAUUAUUGGGCCUAAAGCAUCCGUAGCCGGUUCUGCAAGUCUUCCGUUAAAUCCACCUGCUUAACAGUUGGGCUGCGGGGGAUACUACAGCGCUAGGAGGCGGGAGAGGCAAGCGGUACUUAGUGGGUAGGGGUAAAAUCCGUUGAUCCACUGAAGACCACCAGUGGCGAAGGCGGCUUGCCAGAACGCACUCGACGGUGAGGGAUGAAAGCUGGGGGAGCAAACCGGAUUAGAUACCCGGGUAGUCCCAGCUGUAAACGAUGCAGACUCGGUGAUGGACUAGCUUCAUGCUAGUCCAGUGCCGCAGGGAAGCCGUUAAGUCUGCCGCCUGGGGAGUACGGUCGCAAGACUGAAACUUAA
This 754-nucleotide ribosomal RNA is filed under the name uncultured archaeon. Its description in RNAcentral is "bacterial SSU rRNA". It matches the Rfam family "Archaeal small subunit ribosomal RNA", at positions 102 to 859 of the family's 1478-position model. The record is from RNAcentral.